GGCCAGCAGCCGCGGUAAGACGAAGGAUGCAAGCGUUAUCCGGAUUCAUUGGGUUUAAAGGGAGCGUAGGCGGAUUUGUAAGUCAGUGGUGAAAUCUCUUCGCUUAACGAAGAAACUGCCAUUGAUACUGCAGAUCUUGAGUACAGUUGCCGUUGGCGGAAUAUGACAUGUAGUGGUGAAAUACUUAGAUAUGUCAUAGAACACCGAUUGCGAAGGCAGCUAACGAAGCUGUAACUGACGCUGAGGCUCGAAAGUGCGGGGAUCAAACAGGAUUAGAUACCCUGGUAGUCCGCACUGUAAACGAUGAUUACUCGUUGCUGAGGGGUAACCUUCAGUGACCAAGCGAAAGCGAUAAGUAAUCCACCUGGGGAGUACGCCGGCAACGGUGAAACUUAAAGGAAUUGGCGGGGGAC
Molecule: ribosomal RNA, 413 nt
Filed under: uncultured bacterium
Lineage: Bacteria
Description: bacterial SSU rRNA
Rfam family: Bacterial small subunit ribosomal RNA
Source: RNAcentral